This 1177-nucleotide long non-coding RNA is filed under the name Erythranthe guttata (spotted monkey flower). RNAcentral's name for it is "long non-coding RNA (EGUT_LNC002432)". Lineage: Eukaryota; Viridiplantae; Streptophyta; Magnoliopsida; Lamiales; Phrymaceae. The record is from RNAcentral.
CUCAAACAAAUAUAUUUACUCACACAGUCUUGUUAAAGACAAUAAAACCCGGAAAUUUAUGAAGAUGAAAAACAGAAUAGGCGCGAAACAAAAACUGAAAAAUUAGAAACAAAAAAUUAAUCGUUGAAAAGGUAUUCAGGAAAAAAAACAGAAACUAAUUAAGAAAACAAAACAACAGAUGAUGAAAAGAAAAAAACAAUUGUGUCUUGCACAGGAACGGUCAAUCAAGUUUAGGAAGGGGAUUUUGUGCAGUCUCUGUUCACUUGACUUCUCAUCUCUUCCUUUUCGUAGUUGUCUUUCUUUCCUGUUCCUCAAUGCUACAAACAGAGACAUAAUUAAUUAUUACAAAACUAAUGUCUGAAAUCCCAAAAUUUCGAUCAAAGGAAAAAAAAGAAGGAAGAGCUUACAUUUGGCUUCCUCGAGGUGAUGAAUAAGCAGAAUUAUGACCUGAUCCACUUAUUCGAGAAAAAUAUGUGUGACAUUGCGGAAUCGAAACUGCUUUGUGCUGAAAAACUGCGACACUUGUUUGAGAAACAAAAAUAUAAGAAGUGAGUGAAAAAUCUAUGAAUGCGAGUAAAUAUAUAUGAAGGGAAAAAAAUACACAAUAAUUAAUUCCAAUACAAAUUAAAACCUGUUGUCUUCGCACAACAUCUUUUUCAACUUUGUGACUUGUGAAUCACUGUAUGUCAUUUAUUUUCACAAACUCUACAAUCUCAAAUUGUUAAAAAAUCUCCAAUUCUCCUACCUUUUUCUGCAGUUUCAAAAAGUUAGCGGUGAUAGUUUUUUCUGUUUCCACCAGCGAAUCUCGGUCCUUGUAAAGAUAAGGAAAUCUGUAUUUUAGAUGGUAAUAAGUAUAAAGCAUGAAGGUAUAUGCAAUUGAAUUUAAAAAUAAAACCUGCAACACCAAAAUAAAUUGGAUAGUUAAUUAAAUAACUGCAAAGAUGUUUAAUAAUAAAUAAAUAAUAAUAACUGCACACCGAUGGAAAAGAAUGUGGUGAAAGCAUUUUAAUGGAGCAUGAUUUAGACCGAAUUUCAGCACUAUCGGAUUACUUACAGCAAUUUCAAAAUCUAAUUCCUGAUGUGUGAUCAAAUAUUACUACUCUAAAUAUGUCGAAAUGCAAUAAAUUUGCGAAAAGUUUGAAAUGAUAAUCUGUGAAAUUACAUUACCUCUUUCGAC